Molecule: ribosomal RNA, 62 nt
Filed under: Bipolaris maydis (southern corn leaf blight pathogen)
Lineage: Eukaryota; Fungi; Ascomycota; Dothideomycetes; Pleosporales; Pleosporaceae
Description: partial 28S ribosomal RNA
Source: RNAcentral
UUGACCUCGGAUCAGGUAGGGAUACCCGCUGAACUUAAGCAUAUCAAUAAGGCGGAGGAAUA